GUCCUCACUAUCGUCAGCUGUGGAAGGAACACCUAGUGACGCCCCUGGCAGCAUCCUGAUUGAUAGAACCAGACGAGACCGAUGUUUCUACAAACAUUCUUUUGGGCUGUUUUCAGUAGCCCUAUGUCAAUACACCAUAACACCUAUAAAUAACACUCUUGGAAUCUUCUUCCACGAAGAGGGAACAA
Sitophilus oryzae (rice weevil) is the source of this 188-nucleotide long non-coding RNA. RefSeq lists it as uncharacterized. The transcript is spliced from 2 exons. NCBI's taxonomy places the organism in Eukaryota, Metazoa, Arthropoda, Insecta, Coleoptera, Curculionidae. The record is from RefSeq and is a predicted model, not a curated record.